GGAAAAUGCUCUUAGUGCCUUCUUCAGGUUCACAGAUCCAACAAAUCUGGAGUCUCAACGCAACGUGGUUGAGCUUGGAGCAUAUCCUAUACUGGUAAACUUUCUCAAAGCUGAUUCAAUAACUGCACAAGCAAGAGCAGCUGCACUAUUAACGGAUCUAUCAAUGCGUAGUCAUGAACUCAGUGCAUUAUCCAGGAAAGCUUCCUGUUUCUGUAUUGGACGAGCACGUGCUCCUAUCUGUCCUGCCCACGGAGGUGCCUGCAGCGUGAGCAAGACAUUCUGUCUAUUGGAG
RNAcentral lists this unclassified non-coding RNA (292 nucleotides) under Hevea brasiliensis (rubber tree). Lineage: Eukaryota; Viridiplantae; Streptophyta; Magnoliopsida; Malpighiales; Euphorbiaceae. The record is from RNAcentral.